RNAcentral lists this ribosomal RNA (452 nucleotides) under uncultured bacterium. RNAcentral's name for it is "partial 16S ribosomal RNA". It matches the Rfam family "Bacterial small subunit ribosomal RNA", at positions 354 to 796 of the family's 1533-position model. The record is from RNAcentral.
GUCGAGAAUCUUCCCCAAUGGGCGAAAGCCUGAGGGAGCGACGCCGCGUGAGGGAUGAAGGCCCUUUGGGUUGUAAACCUCUGUUAGGGGGAAAGAAAAGCAGUGGAAGCAAUAUGUCCAUUGCCUGACGUUACCCCCAGAGAAAGCUCCGGCCAACUCCGUGCCAGCAGCCGCGGUAAUACGGGGGGAGCAAGCGUUGUCCGGAAUCAUUGGGCGUAAAGGGCGUGUAGGCGGCUUGGCAAGUCGAAUGUGAAAUCCCACGGCUCAACCGUGGAACUGCGUUCGAAACUGCCUUGCUUGAGUGCGGGAGAGGUGUGCGGAAUUCCUGGUGUAGCGGUGGAAUGCGUAGAUAUCAGGAAGAACACCGGUGGCGAAGGCGGCACACUGGCCCAGCACUGACGCUGAGGCGCGAAAGCGUGGGGAGCGAACGGGAUUAGAUACCCUAGUAGUCC